CCCCCUUCUUCUCUUCUUCUUCUUCCUUCCUCUUGUUGGCUGCUGCUUCACCCACCACCACAUCGCCGCCCCAAGCCCUACUCACCACCACCUCUUGGCCACCAAACCACCACCACCCACCGCUCGUCCGACGAGCCGUCUCGCUGUUGAGCCCGACGAGCUGUCACGCCAUCCACGCCGCCCCUCGCUGCCGUGAGCCACUGCCACCGUCACCACCUCUUGCCGCCGCUCGCUCGCUCGGCCGUUCAGGCCGUCGUUGCUUCAAAUCGCCACCGCCUCCGCCAGAACCGAGCUCUUCCCCCCUUGGCCGUGGGUUGAGCCGCGACCGUCGCCGUAUUCGCCGCGCCGUCCGUGCCAUAAUUAGUCAGUAGUACGAGUCGUGCAAAGGGUCAAGCAACGUAGUCUGAGCUGAUGGGGGGUGGAGGAGGAGGAAACAUUGACGGACGUCGUCCAGCGCAAGUCCGCUUUAAGGAUCCUUCGAGGAACCUUCGCCUCCGCCAGGGGCGUGUCCAGAACAUGAACCGAAACCAGGGUGAAGAGUCACUCCCUCGGGAGCCAAAAGGUGGAGCGACGACAUUUCGAUCAACUAAUCACGACAAGAAGUAGAUCAGCCAACACAUGUUGAUGGGUGAUCCUUGGCCCUUUUUGUCAACGUCGUCUCAUUGACAGUCAAGGAAAAGGACCUGAUUUGUUCCCAAGGGUCAUUGUGAAUCCAAAAGGAGGCUCAGAUUAUUACUACUUUGUGACUUCCAAUGGUAUCCGUAUCCACUAAAAAUGCUUUUCAGGUAGGAAACUAUACUGCAUCCUGGGGUGAUCUAUCUGUUCAAGGUUUAUCAAUGACAUCUGGACAACCUCCUCCUUGGAUUGGUGCUUGAACUGAUGUUUCUAGGAUUUUAUGCAUCAAUCUAAAGUUCUGGUUAUGAUAUGGAGAUAUUCAUGCACAGAUAUGCCAAGAUUUUGUGCAUGCUAUUCCCUGUUUUAUGUGCUGCUUCAUGAAUGAAGCUUUAAUUAAUUCACAACCUUGUGGGUAUCAA
Eucalyptus grandis is the source of this 1034-nucleotide long non-coding RNA. RefSeq lists it as uncharacterized. The transcript is spliced from 3 exons. The record is from RefSeq and is a predicted model, not a curated record. Lineage: Eukaryota; Viridiplantae; Streptophyta; Magnoliopsida; Myrtales; Myrtaceae.